RNAcentral lists this transfer RNA (68 nucleotides) under human gut metagenome. It matches the Rfam family "tRNA". Rfam says of the family: Transfer RNA (tRNA) molecules are approximately 80 nucleotides in length. Their secondary structure includes four short double-helical elements and three loops (D, anti-codon, and T loops). The record is from RNAcentral.
UGAUAUAGCUCAGUCGGUAGAGCGCCACCUUGGUAAGGUGGAGGUCACCAGUUCAAAUCUGGUUAUCA